Molecule: transfer RNA, 76 nt
Filed under: Erysipelotrichaceae bacterium
Lineage: Bacteria; Bacillati; Bacillota; Erysipelotrichia; Erysipelotrichales; Erysipelotrichaceae
Also listed under: 1 other name
Description: tRNA-Ala
Rfam family: tRNA
About the family: Transfer RNA (tRNA) molecules are approximately 80 nucleotides in length. Their secondary structure includes four short double-helical elements and three loops (D, anti-codon, and T loops). Further hydrogen bonds mediate the characteristic L-shaped molecular structure. tRNAs have two regions of fundamental functional importance: the anti-codon, which is responsible for specific mRNA codon recognition, and the 3' end, to which the tRNAs corresponding amino acid is attached (by aminoacyl-tRNA synthetases). tRNAs cope with the degeneracy of the genetic code in two manners: having more than one tRNA (with a specific anti-codon) for a particular amino acid; and 'wobble' base-pairing, i.e. permitting non-standard base-pairing at the 3rd anti-codon position.
Source: RNAcentral
GGGGCUUUAGCUCAGCUGGGAGAGCGCAUGGUUCGCAAUCAUGAGGUCGCCGGUUCGAUCCCGGUAAGCUCCACCA